UACGUAGGUGGCGAGCGUUGUCCGGAAUUACUGGGUGUAAAGGGAGCGUAGGCGGGACUGCAAGUUGGGUGUCAAAUCUACCGGCUCAACCGGUAGCCGCACUCAAAACUGCAGUUCUUGAGUGAAGUAGAGGCAGGCGGAAUUCCUAGUGUAGCGGUGAAAUGCGUAGAUAUAUGGAAGAACACCAGUGGCGAAAGCGGCUCUCUGGUCUGUAACUGACGCUGAGGUUCGAAAGCGUGGGUAGCAAACAGG
Molecule: ribosomal RNA, 252 nt
Filed under: uncultured bacterium
Lineage: Bacteria
Description: partial 16S ribosomal RNA
Rfam family: Bacterial small subunit ribosomal RNA
Source: RNAcentral